This 505-nucleotide ribosomal RNA is filed under the name uncultured bacterium. RNAcentral describes it as "partial 16S ribosomal RNA". It matches the Rfam family "Bacterial small subunit ribosomal RNA", at positions 28 to 507 of the family's 1533-position model. The record is from RNAcentral.
GACGAACGCUGGCGGCGUGCCUAAUACAUGCAAGUAGAACGCACAGUUUAUACCGUAGCUUGCUACACCAUAGACUGUGAGUUGCGAACGGGUGAGUAACGCGUAGGUAACCUGCCUGGUAGCGGGGGAUAACUAUUGGAAACGAUAGCUAAUACCGCAUAAUAUUGAUUAUUGCAUGAUAAUUAAUUGAAAGGUGCAAUUGCACCACUACCAGAUGGACCUGCGUUGUAUUAGCUAGUAGGUGAGGUAACGGCUCACCUAGGCGACGAUACAUAGCCGACCUGAGAGGGUGAUCGGCCACACUGGGACUGAGACACGGCCCAGACUCCUACGGGAGGCAGCAGUAGGAAAUCUUCGGCAAUGGACGAAAGUCUGACCGAGCAACGCCGCGUGAGUGAAGAAGGUUUUCGGAUCGUAAAGCUCUGUUGUAAGAGAAGAACGGGUGUGAGAGUGGAAAGUUCACACUGUGACGGUAGCUUACCAGAAAGGGACGGCUAACUACGUG